RNAcentral lists this long non-coding RNA (576 nucleotides) under Mustela putorius furo (domestic ferret). RNAcentral's name for it is "lncRNA (ENSMPUG00000030671.1)". Lineage: Eukaryota; Metazoa; Chordata; Mammalia; Carnivora; Mustelidae. The record is from RNAcentral.
GUGGGGGGAAAGAAAUUUUUGAAAAAAAAAAUUUUUUUUUUUCAAAUUUCCUUUCACUGUUUUUUGCUUCAGGCAGACCACCUCUCCAGCUAUGCACUGCGGUUAGAGGGAAGGGGCACCUCCCACGCCCCAGGCUUCCACUAAAAUGUUCCUGCCCUGCCACUGCCUUUGAGGGACCAAAUGGACUCCUGGGACCCCGGUCCAGACCUGACAUUGGGGUGACGACCCCCAUCGAGGUGGAAGGCAAAGUUCACCGGGACAGUGAGGACACCGGCCCCAGUAACCGCCAACCUUCCCACAAACUGACGCUGUCCAUCUCCUCGUACACAACAUGAAAAUGUCCCCUUGGAUGACCCUUUCUGCACCUUCCUACAGGUGUUUGCUCAAGUGGCAAAACCAGAUCAACGCUCUUGUCUUGUUUAUUAAAUGUCAUUUUGUAAAGCUAUGCUUGUCCGAUCUCCUUCCAAAAGGUUCGAGGCACUUUUGAGAAGCCCUAUUAAUUACUACAGCUAUAGCUGUAGUAGGAUAUUCAAAAUUUCAUAUUAAAUCAUUUGGUAUACUAUCAUGGCAUAUUAC